UCCUGGCUCAGGACGAACGCUGGCGGCGUGCUUAACACAUGCAAGUCGAGCGGAGAUGGCAUCUAUGUAAUCUUAACGGCGGACGGGUAGAGUAACGCGUAGGCAACCUGCCUUGCGCAGACGGGAUAACACCUGGGAAAGUGGUGCUAAUACCACACGAUAUCUAUAACAAUGGCAUACUCUGAAAUAGAUCGAAGGAGAAACCCGGUGCAAGAUGGGCCUGCGUCCAAUAACUUAGUUGCCUGAGGUAACGGCUCACCAGUGCGAGGAUCGGUAGGCGAAACUGAGAUGUCCGAUCCGGCACAUUGGGACUGACACACUGGCCAUACUCCUACGGGAGGCAUCCUUGGGGGGAAUAUUGCGCAAUGGGUGUAACCCUGACGCAGCAACGCCGCGUGAAGGACAGCACAGGCCUACGGAUUGUACACUUAUGAGAUUGGGGAAGAAAAAAGUGACAGUACCCAAUGAACAAGCCACGGGUAACUACGUGCCACGCAACCGCGGUAAUACGUCCGUGGGCGAGCGUUGUCCGGCAUUACUGGGUGUACAGGGCGUGUAAGCGGGAUUGUAAGUCAGAUGUGAAAUUCCAGGGCUUAAGCUCUGAGAGGUGCAUCUGAGACUAUAAUUCUUGAGUGCUGGAGAGGAAAAGCGGAGAUUCCUAGUGUAGCGGCGAAAAGAGUAGAUAAUAGCAAGAACAACAGCGGCGAAGACGGCGUUCUGGACAGCCACUGACGAUGAGGCGCGAAAGCGUUGUGGAGCAAACAGCAGGAGAUACCCUGCGUAGUACACGAUGUAGACGAUGGAUACUAGUUGUAGGAGGAAUCGACCCCUUGUGCGCCGGAGUUAACACAAUAAGUAUCCCACGUGGGGAGUACUCCCGGCACAGCUGAAACUCAAAGGAAUUGACGGGGGCCCGCACAAGCAGGUGGAGUAUGUGGUUUUAUUAGAAGCAACGCGAAGCAACAUCUACCAGGGCUUGACAUUCCUCGGAUAACAUAGAGAUAUGUUACUCUUUCGGGACGAGGAGACAGGUGGUGCAUGGUUGUUGUCAGCUCGUGUCGUGAGAUUUUGGUUUAAGUCCCGCAAGCGAGCGCAACCCGUCUUGAUAGUCGCCAUCAUUAAGUUGGGCACUCUAACGAGACUGCCGCUGACAAAUCGGAGGAAGGUGGGGACGACGUCAAAUCAUCAUGCCCCUUAUGUCCUGGGCUACACACGUACUACAAUGGUCAGUACAGAGGGAAGCGAUACCGCAAGGAGGAGCCAAUCCCCAAAGGUGACCUCAGUUCGGAUUGUGGUCUGCAACCCGCCCACAUGAAGUCGGAAUUGCUAGUAAUGGCAGAUCAGCACUCCUGCCGUGAAUACGUUCCCGGGCAUUGUACACACCGCCCGUCACACCAUGAGAGUCGGCAACACCCGAAGUCAGU
Molecule: ribosomal RNA, 1424 nt
Filed under: uncultured organism
Description: 16S ribosomal RNA
Rfam family: Bacterial small subunit ribosomal RNA
Source: RNAcentral